CCUCACUUCUCCAUCCCACGAUCCAUCUUCAAAAAAAAAUUUAUGAUCCUUAUAUAAAUCUGUUCUCCAGAUCAUCUCUUCAUCAUCGUCGUGUACUUGUGUCAGUGUGACCCUCAUGGGUUAAUGUUAGAAAUCAAAUAUCUCGCACAGUUGCACUGCCCCAUUUUAGAUUUCUAGAUAUCUUGGAAGAGAGAAACGGAUUCAACGAUCCUCCGAGAGAAUUCUAGGUGACUUUGAUUUCAUCGUUGCUUGGAUUUCAAAUUCUCACUUCUAACUGGAUACUCUCUGUCUGAAUUUUUAAGAAGGAGUUGAAAGAGUGAAAUUGACCACCUUUAUUGUGCUCCACAUCUUGGAUUUGUAAGGACACUUACGAAGACGUACGCAGCACAUAUAAAGAACAAGAUUAAUCUUGAGAUUGAGAUAUUGAUCACUAGGGAUUAUGUUUCCCCCUUGCAAAGUUUGAGGAAACAAUAUUAAAAUAAAGAAGUAGUAUGACUUCAAGUAGGAGAUUGAUUCCGAAGGGAUUUCAUGGAGUUGACUCCAAGAAAAAAAAGAGAGGCCCUUAGAGAAUUUGGCCAUAUAGAACACCUUAAUCUUUUAGAAGGCUAGAAUGAUCAAUGGCUAUGCAUCUGUCAAUGAAGAGGGCCAAUAAAUGGUCAAAAGUUAACAGAAAGAACAAUGUCCUAAUACGCGGUGUUGUGUCGGAUCCCGCACCAGAGGUCCAGGACCAACCAAAGAUUGCCACGUAGUCGGGGUAAUGGCCCAUUAAGGAUAAAGCCCACUAGACCCACAAGUCAAAAGAACAAUCGAAGUGGUUACCACCAUAAGGAGAAUUCGAAGUGACUGCACCUCGACACGAGUCCGGAGACGAAGUCAUGGUUAAGUCGGUCCAAGGAUAUUU
This is a long non-coding RNA of Arabidopsis lyrata subsp. lyrata, 901 nucleotides long. RefSeq lists it as uncharacterized. The transcript has 4 exons. The record is from RefSeq and is a predicted model, not a curated record. Lineage: Eukaryota; Viridiplantae; Streptophyta; Magnoliopsida; Brassicales; Brassicaceae.